CUAUGCGCCUUGCCAGCCCGCUCAGGUGUGCCAGCAGCCGCGGUAAUACGGAGGAUGCGAGCGUUAUCCGGAUUUAUUGGGUUUAAAGGGUGCGUAGGCGGGCUUUAAGUCAGCGGUAAAAAUUCGGGGCUCAACCCCGUCCGGCCGUUGAAACUGGGGGUCUUGAGUGGGCGAGAAGAAGGCGGAAUGCGUGGUGUAGCGGUGAAAUGCAUAGAUAUCACGCAGAACCCCGAUUGCGAAGGCAGCCUUCCGGCGCCCUACUGACGCUGAGGCACGAAAGUGCGGGGAUCGAACAGG
This 297-nucleotide ribosomal RNA is filed under the name uncultured bacterium. Its description in RNAcentral is "partial 16S ribosomal RNA". It matches the Rfam family "Bacterial small subunit ribosomal RNA", at positions 475 to 776 of the family's 1533-position model. The record is from RNAcentral.